UAGCCGUAAACGAUACUCGCUAGGUGUCGGCCACGGUGCGACCGUUGUCGGUGCCGUAGGGAAGCCGUGAAGCGAGCCACCUGGGAAGUACGGCCGCAAGGCUGAAACUUAAAGGAAUUGGCGGGGGAGCACCACAACGGGUGGAGCUUGCGGUUUAAUUUGGAUUCAACGCCGGAAAUACUUACCGGGACCGACAGCAACAUGAAGGCCAGGCUGAAGACUUUGCCGGAUUAGCUGAGAGGUGGUGCAUGGCGUAGUCGUGU
This 263-nucleotide ribosomal RNA is filed under the name uncultured archaeon. RNAcentral's name for it is "partial 16S ribosomal RNA". It matches the Rfam family "Archaeal small subunit ribosomal RNA", at positions 748 to 1009 of the family's 1478-position model. The record is from RNAcentral.